CUGUGUCCAGUGGUUAUAAUGGAGCUUUGCUGGUGUGUGGAGCGUCCACAGAGAGGAUUUGCACUCUGAUAGACCACAGCAUCAUCAAACAGCUCCUGGCAAAUCUGUUUGGUCGUACGUUGUCACAAGAGAAAGAGGAAAUGUUCAUCUCUGUGUCGUUCCUUCAGUUUUAUCCAGAUGGCAGCGCUGUAGAUCUUCUGAGCGCCAACGGUCACUCUCUAAAACUUGUCACACACCCAGUCCUUGGAAGUCUUGUAGGAGGCGUGUGUGAAGUGUGUGUGGGUUCACAAGAGGACGCAUGUGCUCUGUAUGAGUCAUGUAAGGACAGAAUGAGGGCCAGAGGAGGCGUC
Molecule: long non-coding RNA, 350 nt
Organism: Solea solea (common sole)
Lineage: Eukaryota; Metazoa; Chordata; Actinopteri; Pleuronectiformes; Soleidae
Exons: 4
Source: RefSeq, a predicted model, not a curated record